RNAcentral lists this ribosomal RNA (216 nucleotides) under Glomeromycotina sp. RNAcentral's name for it is "partial small subunit ribosomal RNA". The stretch from base 47 to 216 matches the Rfam family "Eukaryotic small subunit ribosomal RNA", at positions 693 to 864 of the family's 1831-position model. Lineage: Eukaryota; Fungi; Glomeromycota. The record is from RNAcentral.
GGGUCAGUAGGUUGGUCGUGCCACCGGUACGUACUGGUCUCACUGGUUCCUCCUUCCUGAAGAACCGUAAUGCCAUUAAUUUGGUGUUGCGGGGAAACAGGACUGUUACUUUGAAAAAAUUAGAGUGUUUAAAGCAAGCUAACGCUUGAAUACAUUAGCAUGGAAUAAUGAAAUAGGACGAUCGAUCCUAUUUUGUUGGUUUCCAGGAUUGACGUA